UACGUAGGGGGCAAGCGUUGUCCGGAUUUAUUGGGCGUAAAGAGCGUGUAGGCGGCCUGACAGGUCUGCUGUGAAAACUCGAGGCUCAACCUCGAGAUGUCGGCGGAAACCGUCUGGCUAGAGUCCGGAAGAGGAGAGUGGAAUUCCUGGUGUAGUGGUGAAAUGCGCAGAUAUCAGGAAGAACACCUAUGGCGAAGGCAGCUCUCUGGGACGGUACUGACGCUGAGACGCGAAAGCGUGGGGAGCAAACAGG
RNAcentral lists this ribosomal RNA (253 nucleotides) under uncultured bacterium. RNAcentral describes it as "partial 16S ribosomal RNA". It matches the Rfam family "Bacterial small subunit ribosomal RNA", at positions 524 to 776 of the family's 1533-position model. The record is from RNAcentral.